CCAAGCCGGCCACUGGUAGGACACACCUCACUUGUGUCUUGCCUUGUGGGGGUCACUAUCUUUGUUGCCUGAUGUCUGCUGUUUAGAGAACCAGUGUCUCAUAUAUUCAGUAGGUUUGUUACCAAUGCGUUUCCCAACUGAACAGACACAGCUUCUCGGGUUAAGAGGAACCGAGCCUGGGUCCUUCUAGGCCACUCUUCCUGCCCGCCGGUCCCAUGGUCUGUGCAGGCAUCAGGAGUGUUUAUGGAGCACAGCCGACAGCCUCACGGAGUCUGGAGGAGAGAGCGCUGUGACCCCAGCAGCGUCAAGACGCUCCUGCCUUCCUGUCAUGUUCAGAGGGAGUGACAGAGAGCUCAGACAGCCUCCUUGCUGGCACGUGACACUCUCCGACUGUCUCCACCUCCCCUGUCUGGCCAUCUGCCCUCACCAGGCCUCACCCUCAUUCCUAAUCCAUCUUAGCACCCAGGAAACCUCUCUCAGCCACAAGUGGCUUCGCCUUGCAUAUUAGUGAUUCGAGCAUGGCUUUUCUUUUGGAGACUCCUGGCUCCUUGAGCAAGGUGAUCAGAUCUUAGUCCACUUUCUAAUGACCCAUAGGGCAGCUGGUGCGGGCUUGGUAAAGGCACGGUUUACGUCUGAUUUAUCUUUGUACUCCCAGCUCCUAGCACAGUGCUGGGUACUGAGUGUGCGCUGCAUGUAUCUGGUGGAUGAAUGAACGAAUGAAUGAAUGAGCACCUUCAGGAUUUGUCUUCUCAAAUAUGAACCAGCAGAAUGGCCACAUGAUAAGCUAUCUUGUCCUCUCUGGGGUGAGAUACUAGCAAGGGGCAGGCCUAGCAGGCAGCCCAAAGGUUGGGGUCCUCACCCUGUCCUCUGGGAAAGUUGCUUCUUCAUCUUGAGCCUCAGUAUUUAUUCUCUUCUGAAAUGACACCUCCCCAGGCUUCCUGCAGCUCCGGCAUUCUCUAAUUGACUCAAGCAAGGAUAAAUAAGGACAUAGCCUUUGAACACAACAGCUGGCUUCCUGAGCAAAAUCCAAGACCUAUGCCUCGACUGGGUUUCACAAAUGCCUCCCCCUUUCCCUAUCCAUUAGCAUCUCUGCCUGGGGUUGUUUCCUUCUGUGCACACAGUGAUCAGUGUCCUGCUGAAUAUCAGAGGGGGACCCUAGGCAGAGGACACUCUCAACCAGGGCUCCCUGCUUUCAGGAUCAACUGUGUUUGGAAAAGUGAUCACGAAAAGAAAAUUCCCGUGCCGUUAAUAGAAAUUGUAAGGCAAAGAGGCACUGAAAUCUAGCACCAAAUUCCAGGUAGAUGCAAUUUCCAAACAAGGAUCCUAUUGGCACGUUUGUUCAAAGGACAGUUCUACCUUAUGUGGAAAUAACUAGUUCACUGGCAUUAGCAUCCAUAGCUUCGGGGAUUGCUCAUUGUGCUGACCAAAGGUAGCCCCCCACCCCCUAGGUCCAAGAGCUCCUGACCCGAGGUGCAGCCCCUGGCUAUGAUCACAAAUGGGUAGAUUUAUUCCCCAGCCUUGGGAUGUUGGGGAACCUUCCUGGGAAAGGCAAGGCCCUGGGGACUUGCCCAGAUGUAUUACAGCCCAAGGGAGAGUCACAGAGGCUGAAACUGCUUCCUUGGCAGUGAAAAUAAGGGGCAAAGCUUUGGGUGUGGGGCCGAUGUAGAGGGAACAGCCUCCAAUGAUCCACUUGCAUUUCUGAGUCCCAGAGCGGCUGCUGCUGUAGGAAGGUACAGCCUGGAUCUGUGCUGAGUCACCCCAGGAAGACACAGGCAAAGCAGGGACACCCCCGACCUGAGGGAUUAAGGGAGCUCUGGCUUUGAUAUUUCACCAAAAAAUCAUUGAACAAGUUCAUCACGGGGGAAAUGCGAAUCCUUUUGGCCCUCUUUCCUGUUAUUUUAUAGUUUAUCCCUAUUUUCAAGUCUGUGCUCUGCAUCUUUUAGGUGUUGGUUGGGCUUGCAGAGCAGCCCUUGGUGUCCCUGUCCCAGCCAAUUCACAGGAAGCCUUGCUGAUUCUGCUCAGGCUCUGUGAGGAUCGGAGGUCCAACCCUGGGGACCUCACAUUUGUUAAUGAGGUUUUAGCACCUGUCCCCUGGGGAGCGCAUAAUGCUUUCUGGAUCACUUAAUCCAGCUGCCCUGCCGUUAAUUCAGCUACAAAUGAUAACCACUCCCUUCUCUCCAUCUCCUUUCUGUCUUUCUUUGUUCUGCACGGGAGGGCACAAAAGUGCAAGCACUUGGGAAAAGCACUGGGCUUGUUCUUACACUGUCAAUCACACUCACACCACAGGAUCCAGCAAUCCUGCUCCUAGCAUUUAUCCAAGAGAAAUGUGAAAACGUGGUGCAUGCACAUGUUUACUUUCACAGUAGUCAGAGACCCGGAAAGAGCCUAAGGGUCCAACAGGUGAGUGGAUAAACAAAUCGUGGCACACACAUCAGGGGAAACUAUUCAGGGAUAACAAGAAAGGAACUUCAGAGAAUGCAACAAAGCGCUAUGCUAAAUAAAGGCAGCAGAAAAAUAGUAAAAAGCACCUGGCACGAUUCCACUUAUGUGAAUGUCGGGAACAAGCAAACCUAAUGAUUUUAGAGCUCAAUAGUGGCUGGCCCCAGGGUGGGGACAGGCUAGAGAGAGGCCCAGGGGUGUCUGUCUGGGGGGGCUGGAAAGGUUCUGUCAUGAUGGAGGUGGCUCUCGCUGGUGUCUGCCUUUGUCAAAGUGGUCAGAUGGUGCAGUUAGGUGGAACUCACACCUGGGUGAGAACAAUGGGAAGGUCAGCCACCUGUUCCCCACCGUGACUGCAGCCCUCAAGGUGCCCAUGACUAAGCCCAGAGAGUCUGGGCUGUAAUUUUGAUUCUCUUGCAUAUAUCACUACCAUCUUGAAGACCUGCCUUACUAAAGCUAGUUGUACUGUCUGUCUGUCCAUCCCUUCUCUCCCUUACCAUGUUCCCUCCCUCCUCCUUUUACCUCUUUCUCUUCCCUCCCUUUCUCCCUCCCUCUCCUCUCCCAUUCCUUUUGCAGUUCUCUGCACUUCUUUCCAGUUGUAUCUGGGUCUUCUCAGUAUUUCGGGACGAGGUUGUGGGGUGUGUUUUCUUUUCUCCAAGGGAUGAGAAUCAGCCUCCAAUUUGCUUGUGCUUUUGGUGAACCCCAACACUGCCCAUGCCAGGCAGGUUCACCCCAAACACUCCAUGGAAUCACAUAAGGAUGGGAGGGCCUUGUAAUAAACACAGAGUGCUCCCGGUUCUGGCUGCCCCCAUGCAGGCAGAGCUAGCUGCAGGUACCCCUGCCCGGGCCAAACCCCAGAGAGCCAGCCUCCUGCAAGAAACCAACACCCGACAGGCCUGCUUUUCUCUCCUCCCUCCCCCAUAGUACCCUCUGAGACUGGCUCCCCGCCCCCCACCUGCAGAGGAACCAGAUUUAAUGCCUCAACUGAGAGAAUGAGAUGUUCUGUUAUUUUUCAUGGGAAAUUAAACCUGACCCUGCUGUCAGUUAACUCAUGCCAAGGGAGGAUGGAUGGCCAUGCGCCGUGCUUAACCCCUGCUCUGCGCAGCCCAGGCCUGGAUGGAGGGCAGCCUGGCGGGGGGCCAGCCAUGAUGUCAUCUGCUUCCGGGUGGGGGCAGGGAUGGCAGGAAAGGUCAGAGGGCCUCCAUCUGGGGGGUGAUGGCAACCCUGUCCUCUGGCCCUGGCUAAACCAGCUCGUUCAGGGAGACUCAGGCUGUUCCUGUCUCUUCCAGCUCCCAACUCUACCUCGUGCCCUGCUGAGGAAAGCUGGUGGUCAGGGCUGGUGAUCGUCAUUGCCGUAUGUUGUGCCUCUCUGGUGUUUCUGACUGUCCUUGUCAUCAUUUGCUACAAAGCCAUAAAAAGGAACCAUGCCAUUUAGGGGGCCCUUGGUGGCCAUCUCUGCCUGGACCAGGGUGGAGAUGUUUGUCCUGGCUUGGCAGGAUCAGCCUUGCCUGGCCCGUGGAGCUGGGAGCCAGGCUGGGUCCUAGUAUCUCCCUCCACCCCAUCCGGAGCCCCAUGGGGCACACGACAGGAAACCCCUGCGAAAAGAUGAAAAUGGCACCAGCGUUGCUGAGUAUCCCAUGAGCUCCUCCCAGAGCACCAAAGGGGUGGAUGUGAGCAACGCAAUGGUGUGAGUCUGCAGGCCCUGGACCCGCUGGCCAGAGGGAUACCUUGAUGGCACUAGUGGACAUGGGAAGUUGAGCCUGGCUUUGUCCAGGACUUCAUUGCCUUGCAGGCCUCCAGCCUCCUGAAGGAGAAACCAUCCUCUUCCCAGGCCAGCCCCAGUUGGCCCAUAGGCAGGGGCCUAGACGCGGGGUCCCCUGCAUGCAGCGCCUGGGGCAGCGUCACCGCCCAGGGCUCUCCACAUUCUCCUCCUUGUCUUGUGUUUGGUCCACUGACUGUCCCCCAACUGCUGUCUAAAGCACAUGCUCUGACGAAGGCAGAAAGUCUGUAUGCCUGUGGGGAAGGGAGGCACCCUCUUUUAGGUAAAAGAGAGUGAAAGGGGGGCCACUCCCCAGCCUGAAGUCCUCUCCUCCUCCAGGAAGCAGCCGGCUUCUCUGUGGACAUCCCAACAGAAGCCAUGGGCACAGCCAUGAGACAGAGGCCCCCUUCAAAGGUGCUUCUCACACAUCUGUCCAUCACCCCGUGUGUAACUGUCCUCAGCCUUCAGGGCCUGUGUCUGCCCUCCUGUUCCCACCCACACCCUGGCUGUGGCUCCUGCCUACCUGCCAUGGGGCGUGUUGAGCCCAGCCUGAGAACCCCUGUGACCAGACCCAGGGGCUCUUUACGUGCGGGGCAAUGUGCCAGAAGCCUAGGCUAGGGGUGUCCAGAAAGGGGCAGCGGCCCUUACACCACACUGGGGUGCAGGAACCCCACGUUCACGUGAGCCAGGCCCUGCCUCAUCGAACAGAAGUCAUCACUUGUGCCAAACCCACUGGGUUACUCUGAGCUAGGCCAAUGCUGGCCUAGAGUCCUGCCUCCCUGACUGUCCCCUGAGGCCUGGCAGUGGUAUCCGGAACCUCUUCUGAGAGCCCCUAGAAGGCAGGGUUCUCUUCCUGUGUCCUGUGGUCCAGUGCUCUAGAUGUGCCGAACCCUCCUGAGUGUGGAAGAGGGAGGGCAGGGGCAGGAGCCUCCAGGCUUGGCCACCUCUGCCCUGCCCACCAGGUUUCCAGAGGGCCACCUCCCAGUGGGACACGUCACUAGGUCUGUGGAGACAGGGGGCUUGUGAGCUUACCUCCCUUGGAAAGUUAGAACGCUCUUGACCCUGUGGUUCCCCUCACCACCCUCACAUACCUGCUCAGAAGGAAUCAGAAACAUUUAAUGAUUACAGCCUGUGGCCCUUAGGGAUUUAGCUGGCUGGACCUUGUUCGCCUCCUACACACACCACCAUUGUACUUCUCUAGCAGGUAUUUGGGUUGCAGUGAGACCCUCAAAUCCAGGAAAGACUGAUAGACAUGAAAGCCAGUUCCCACUUGGCCAAAAUGUCCACUGUCCCAGGGCCCUGUGCCCGGAGCUGUCUGUCUGUCCUUCCCUUGGCCGGAGCAUGCACAUUAAGGACAGACCCAGCAUAUGCUCCCCCACAGAGGGUUUUGUCUUCCUUUCCCUUUUCCUCCUUCAACUUGAGGACUUGUUUGAAUUUCACUUUCCUGGCACACCUUGAUAUCACCAUAGUGCUGCCAACCGCCCCCACCCAGCUGAGCUCUUGGUGGUACUCUUAGGAUGCAGUCAGGUGACAAACAGGCCAGAGGAGAGGGGUUGGGGGCAAGGCAGGAGGGAGAAGCCAUCUGUGAGGGGUGGCACACCCCACCCCAGGGCACUAUGCCCUGCUGACCACAGCCUCCUGGUGCCUGCUGAGCCCCCUCCCUGAGUACAUACCUGGGCAGGUGAGCAGGAGCUCAGUCCUAAACACAGAGCACCUUGGGCUUCAUGGGGGAAAAGCUGGUGCCCCGGGCUGGUCUAGAGUGGCCAGAGGGUGCCUUUGGCUGGAGGCUCUUGGCUGAGGGGCCUGGUGGACUAGGGCAGCCCAGAAAGGCUGGGCAUGGCUGAGUAUCCACACACCCACUGGUUCCACUAUCCUUGACUAUGGCUUAAACAUAGAAAGCCUAGAUUAUCCAGUUAGGCUGUAGGAACCUGGCUGAGCUGCCCAUCACGCCAGCCCCCAAGACACCCAGGGCUCCAGUUCGCAUGUAAAUUCCCCUCCGUCCACCUUGUAGAGUCCCUUCUCAGCCAGGUAGAGAAAACCAAGGGAAGAGUCACAUUUUUUUAAAAAAAGGUUCAGUUGAGAACAAAGCCCCCAAAUUCAGGGCUGCUGUUCAGAGGACACAUCUCACGGCACAGCGAGGAAGGCCACCAGGCUUCCACCUCAGGACACUGACUUGAACGUUAGACUGCUGCAGCCUAGUAAGUGGCUUGGCGCUUUUGUUUAAAUCUGCAGCCCCUCAACCCACACCUCUUCUCAGAUUGGCCUGAGCUCUGAGGUCGAGAAUGAGAUGCACAUUCCCUCUCCGCAUUUUCUCAGAUGUUUCUCAACUGUCUGGCAGUCGAGCCCCACUUUGGAACUCAGUGGCAUUUGGGAGCUCCCAGAGUUACCAGGUGUUCCUAAGAGGCUUCUAGGGAAGUUUCGGGAGAAAGACUAAUAGGUGUAAAGAUAUAAGCAUAUAUAUUAUAUAGUUAUAUAUUUAAAGAAAUAUCUCUAUAUAUAUAAUUACUGUACUCUGCAUCUGUACAAAGUAUGAUCUCAACAGCCCAGGUAGUGUGAGACAUGUAAUGCAUGAAUAUAAAUAUCCCGAACUCUGCCUUCUUAGUGAUGUGCCAUGUGUAUGGGGACGAUGCUCUUGUUCCUAGGCAUUCUGUCUCGAUGGACAGAUAUACCUGUCUGUGCCAUCUUGUCCACCAAUGAGCCAUUCAUGUCGAUUUCGUGCUGAGACUUCUGUACAGGAGGCGGGACUGGCAGCCUGGGGGGUGCGCUAUAUGCUCCUUUUGAGGAAAGAAGCACCAUGACUUUUUUAUUUUCAAUAAAAAUAUACUUAAAAGGU
Heterocephalus glaber (naked mole-rat) is the source of this 7028-nucleotide non-coding RNA. The record is from RefSeq and is a predicted model, not a curated record. Lineage: Eukaryota; Metazoa; Chordata; Mammalia; Rodentia; Bathyergidae.